Molecule: transfer RNA, 74 nt
Organism: Clostridium estertheticum
Lineage: Bacteria; Bacillati; Bacillota; Clostridia; Eubacteriales; Clostridiaceae
Rfam family: tRNA
About the family: Transfer RNA (tRNA) molecules are approximately 80 nucleotides in length. Their secondary structure includes four short double-helical elements and three loops (D, anti-codon, and T loops).
Source: Rfam
GGGCCUAUAGCUCAGCUGGUUAGAGCGCACGCCUGAUAAGCGUGAGGUCGAUGGUUCGAGUCCAUCUAGGCCCA